UGGGGAAUUUUGGACAAUGGACGCAAGUCUGAUCCAGCCAUGCCGCGUGCGGGAAGAAGGCCUUCGGGUUGUAAACCGCUUUUGUCAGGGAAGAAACGAGUUUCUCUAAUACAGAGACUUAAUGACGGUACCUGAAGAAUAAGCACCGGCUAACUACGUGCCAGCAGCCGCGGUAAUACGUAGGGUGCGAGCGUUAAUCGGAAUUACUGGGCGUAAAGCGUGCGCAGGCGGUUAUAUAAGACAGAUGUGAAAUCCCCGGGCUCAACCUGGGAACUGCCUUUGUGACUGCAUAGCUAGAGUACGGUAGAGGGGGAUGGAAUUCCGCGUGUAGCAGUGAAAUACGUAGAUAUGCGGAGGAACACCGAUGGCGAAGGCAAUCCCCUGGACCUGUACUGACGCUCAUGCACGAAAGCGUGGGGAGCAAACA
RNAcentral lists this ribosomal RNA (427 nucleotides) under uncultured bacterium. RNAcentral's name for it is "bacterial SSU rRNA". It matches the Rfam family "Bacterial small subunit ribosomal RNA", at positions 355 to 774 of the family's 1533-position model. The record is from RNAcentral.